Molecule: long non-coding RNA, 1011 nt
Filed under: Helianthus annuus (common sunflower)
Lineage: Eukaryota; Viridiplantae; Streptophyta; Magnoliopsida; Asterales; Asteraceae
Source: RNAcentral
AUGAAGAAGUCACAAUCAAAUCGAAGAAUAUGGACUAUAAGAUACAACCGUCACAAAACUGUUGAUAAUUUUAGUGCUUGGGUCCGAUUGAUAGUCAAAGGAUGGGAAAUAAUUGUGAAUCAGAUUUUUUUUAAUAAAAACAAAUGAAAACAAGAAACCGAUGGAUUGUGUAUAUUAUAAAAAAAAAAAAAAAAAAAAAAACAAGAUACGGUGUUUUGUUGGUUGAUCGCAUAUUGGAAACUGGUUGAUCGUUGAUCAGGAGGGUACUAUUCCAUCUCAACACAAAAAUCAAAUUCGGUCUUGACAAACCUUUUGGUCUUAUCUGAUUAAGCAUUUGUGUGUACCCACAAAUAGUUAGAUCUGAAAGUGCAUCACCAUUCCAAGAGGAAUCCAAGUUUAUAUUUCAGUGUUUUUCAUCUCUCCAAUCAGAUCUGCGAUUUCGAUUCACUGCAGGGUUAGAGGUGUUUGAGUGGUUUCGGUUAUUUACAUGGCUGACAAGAACAAAAUUUUUGGGGUACAUGGCUAACAAGAACAAACUAUUUAUGUAUUUCGGUUGCACGCUUUUUUUGUAUCCGUGAUGACGGCGGCCUCGAUUUUGUUUGAGAUCGUCGGCAUUGAUCUGGACUAUUGUCGGUAAAUUUUGGUGCCGUUACGGGCCUGACUGCCUGUGUAGAAACCGCCAUAAUUGUUUACGUUCAAUCCGAGUAGAGUAACUUGUUAAUAUUUUUCUCGCGUGACAUUCAAAUUGCAAAGAGUUCGUCGAUCUCGGCAAUGGCACUAGACUCACAUCUUUACGGUAACAAUUUGCCCAUUGCAUACAUGGUAAGUUGGCCGGAUAUAUAUUUGGUUUGGCUUUUGGGACAGGUGAUCAACGGUGAUUUAGAGUUUGUGGUUGAUGACGGUUUAGUCGAUUGAAGUCUGGUAAACUCGUGAAGAUCUCCGAGUUAUUCUUGAUCAAGAACAAAAACUCGUGAAAAUAAAAGUUCGUUGGUACAACAAAUUGUAUACUCC